This 315-nucleotide long non-coding RNA is filed under the name Vitis vinifera (wine grape). RNAcentral describes it as "long non-coding RNA (VVIN_LNC001801)". Lineage: Eukaryota; Viridiplantae; Streptophyta; Magnoliopsida; Vitales; Vitaceae. The record is from RNAcentral.
UAGGGAACUAAUUGUUUUUCCCGAAGAGCUAUAAGGAACAUGAGGUGCAGGGACAUGAGAUGCAGGAACAUGAGGUGCGGGUGGUGCCACGAAUUGAGAUGCAGGAGUUGUAGCUUGGGUUUCCAACAAGCCAUCAAGAGGCAGACUCCGGAACGAACACUUUGGAUUCAAGCAAAUACCAUUCAACCAGGACCUGUAAUCUUUAGGGUUCAUCCGGGCAUGUUGCAUAUUCUUCCCAGUAAGCCCAACGUUUAAAGCCCCUCUUGAAAAAUCUUAAGUCUCCUGCUACAUAACUUGAUGUAUAUAAUAAAAUCC